RNAcentral lists this ribosomal RNA (300 nucleotides) under uncultured Veillonellaceae bacterium. RNAcentral describes it as "bacterial SSU rRNA". It matches the Rfam family "Bacterial small subunit ribosomal RNA", at positions 28 to 339 of the family's 1533-position model. Lineage: Bacteria; Bacillati; Bacillota; Negativicutes; Veillonellales; Veillonellaceae. The record is from RNAcentral.
GACGAACGCUGGCGGCGUGCUUAACACAUGCAAGUCGAACGGAACCUUCGGGUUUAGUGGCGAACGGGUGAGUAAAGCGCAGGUAAUCUGCCGCAAAGAUGGGGACAACGUUUCGAAAGGGACGCUAAUACCGAAUGAAGUAGUAGAGUCGCAUGAAUUUACUACCAAAGAUUUAUCGCUUUGCGAGGAGCCUGCGUCCGAUUAGGUAGUUGGUGGGGUAAGAGCCUACCAAGCCGACGAUCGGUAGCCGGUCUGAGAGGAUGAACGGCCACAAUGGAACUGAGACACGGUCCAUACUCC